RNAcentral lists this ribosomal RNA (447 nucleotides) under uncultured bacterium. RNAcentral's name for it is "bacterial SSU rRNA". It matches the Rfam family "Bacterial small subunit ribosomal RNA", at positions 355 to 825 of the family's 1533-position model. The record is from RNAcentral.
UCGGGAAUUUUGGGCAAUGGGCGAAAGCCUGACCCAGCAACGCCGCGUGAAGGAUGAAGUAUUUCGGUAUGUAAACUUCGAAAGAAUAGGAAGAAUAAAUGACGGUACUAUUUAUAAGGUCCGGCUAACUACGUGCCAGCAGCCGCGGUAAUACGUAGGGACCAAGCGUUGUUCGGAUUUACUGGGCGUAAAGGGCGCGUAGGCGGCAAUUCAAGUCAUCUGUGAAAUCUCCGGGCUUAACUCGGAACGGUCAGAUGAUACUGCUUUGCUAGAGUGCAGAAGGGGCAAUCGGAAUUCUUGGUGUAGCGGUGAAAUGCGUAGAUAUCAAGAGGAACACCUGAGGUGAAGACGGGUUGCUGGGCUGACACUGACGCUGAGGCGCGAAAGCGUGGGGAGCAAACAGGAUUAGAUACCCCCGUAGUCCCUGAGCGGGCUGGCAAGGCGCAU